UACAGAGGUCUCAAGCGUUGUUCGGAUUCAUUGCGCGUAAAGGGUGCGUAGGCGGCGCGGUAAGUCGGGUGUGAAAUCUUGGAGCUUAACUCCGAAACUGCAUUCGAUACUGCCGUGCUUGAGGACUGGAGAGGAGACUGGAAUUUACGGUGUAGCGGUGAAAUGCGUAGAUAUCGUAAGGAAGACCAGUGGCGAAGGCGGGUCUCUGGACAGUUCCUGACGCUGAGGCACGAAGGCCAGGGGAGCAAACGGG
RNAcentral lists this ribosomal RNA (253 nucleotides) under uncultured bacterium. RNAcentral describes it as "partial 16S ribosomal RNA". It matches the Rfam family "Bacterial small subunit ribosomal RNA", at positions 524 to 776 of the family's 1533-position model. The record is from RNAcentral.